RNAcentral lists this ribosomal RNA (484 nucleotides) under uncultured bacterium. Its description in RNAcentral is "partial 16S ribosomal RNA". It matches the Rfam family "Bacterial small subunit ribosomal RNA", at positions 30 to 507 of the family's 1533-position model. The record is from RNAcentral.
AUUGAACGCUGGCGGCAGGCCUAACACAUGCAAGUCGAGCGGAUGAAGGGAGCUUGCUCCUGGAUUCAGCGGCGGACGGGUGAGUAAUGCCUAGGAAUCUGCCUGGUAGUGGGGGAUAACGUCCGGAAACGGGCGCUAAUACCGCAUACGUCCUGAGGGAGAAAGUGGGGGAUCUUCGGACCUCACGCUAUCAGAUGAGCCUAGGUCGGAUUAGCUAGCUGGUGGGGUAAAGGCCUACCAAGGCGACGAUCCGUAACUGGUCUGAGAGGAUGAUCAGUCACACUGGAACUGAGACACGGUCCAGACUCCUACGGGAGGCAGCAGUGGGGAAUAUUGGACAAUGGGCGAAAGCCUGAUCCAGCCAUGCCGCGUGUGUGAAGAAGGUCUUCGGAUUGUAAAGCACUUUAAGUCGGGAGGAAGGGCAGUAAGUUAAUACCUUGCUGUUUUGACGUUACCAACAGAAUAAGCACCGGCUAACUUCGUG